CCUACGGGUGGCAGCAGUGAGGAAUAUUGGUCAAUGGACGAGAGUCUGAACCAGCCAAGUAGCGUGAAGGAUGACUGCCCUAUGGGUUGUAAACUUCUUUUAUAUGGGAAUAAAAUGUUCCACGUGUGGGAUUUUGUAUGUACCAUAUGACUAGGGAUCGGCUAACUCCGUGCCAGCAGCCGCGGUAAUACGGAGGAUCCGAGCGUUAUCCGGAUUUAUUGGGUUUAAAGGGAGCUUAGGUGGAUUGUUAAGUCAGUUGUGAAAGUUUGCGGCUCAACCGUAAAAUUGCAGUUGAAACUGGCAGUCUUGAGUACAGUAGAGGUGGGCGGAAUUCGUGGUGUAGCGGUGAAAUGCUUAGAUAUCACGAAGAACUCCGAUUGCGAAGGCAGUUCACUGGACUGCAACUGACACUGAGGCUCGAAAGUGUGGGUAUCAAACAGGAUUAGAUACCCCAGUAGUC
RNAcentral lists this ribosomal RNA (460 nucleotides) under uncultured bacterium. RNAcentral's name for it is "partial 16S ribosomal RNA". It matches the Rfam family "Bacterial small subunit ribosomal RNA", at positions 338 to 795 of the family's 1533-position model. The record is from RNAcentral.